Molecule: ribosomal RNA, 393 nt
Filed under: uncultured bacterium
Lineage: Bacteria
Description: bacterial SSU rRNA
Rfam family: Bacterial small subunit ribosomal RNA
Source: RNAcentral
AUACGCGCGAGCAACCUGCCCUCGAUGGGGAAUAACAUCGAGAAAUCGGUGCUAAUACCGCAUAAUAUGGAGAGACCGCAUGAUCUUUCCAUCAAAGGAUUUAUUCGCUUGAGGAUGGGCUCGCGUCCGAUUAGGUAGUUGGUGAGGUAACGGCCCACCAAGCCUGCGAUCGGUAGCCGAACUGAGAGGUUGAUCGGCCACAUUGGGACUGAGACACGGCCCAGACUCCUACGGGAGGCAGCAGUGGGGAAUAUUGGGCAAUGGGCGAAAGCCCUGACCCAGCAACGCCGCGUGAAGGAUGAAGGUCUUCGGAUUGUAAACUUCUUUGAUCGGGGAAGAAAUAAAUGACCUACCCGAAGAACAAGCCACGGCUAACUACGUGCCAGCCGCGGC